RNAcentral lists this transfer RNA (82 nucleotides) under Saccoglossus kowalevskii. RNAcentral describes it as "tRNA-Ser". It matches the Rfam family "tRNA". From Rfam's summary of the family: Transfer RNA (tRNA) molecules are approximately 80 nucleotides in length. Their secondary structure includes four short double-helical elements and three loops (D, anti-codon, and T loops). Lineage: Eukaryota; Metazoa; Hemichordata; Enteropneusta; Harrimaniidae. The record is from RNAcentral.
GUAGUCGUGGCCGAGUGGUUAAGGCGAUGGACUGGAAAUGCAUUGGGCUCUGCCCGCGCAGGUUCGAAUCCUUCCGACUAAG